GACGAACGCUGGCGGCGUGCCUAAUACAUGCAAGUGGGACGCAAGGAAACACACUGUGCUUGCACACCGUGUUUUCUUGAGUCGCGAACGGGUGAGUAACGCGUAGGUAACCUGCCUAUUAGCGGGGGAUAACUAUUGGAAACGAUAGCUAAUACCGCAUAAUAUUAAUUAUUGCAUGAUAAUUGAUUGAAAGAUGCAAGCGCAUCACUAGUAGAUGGACCUGCGUUGUAUUAGCUAGUUGGUAAGGCAAGAGCUUACCAAGGCGACGAUACAUAGCCGACCUGAGAGGGUGAUCGGCCACACUGGGACUGAGACACGGCCCAGACUCCUACGGGAGGCAGCAGUAGGGAAUCUUCGGCAAUGGACGAAAGUCUGACCGAGCAACGCCGCGUGAGUGAAGAAGGUUUUCGGAUCGUAAAGCUCUGUUGUAAGUCAAGAACGUGUGUGAGAGUGGAAAGU
RNAcentral lists this ribosomal RNA (459 nucleotides) under Streptococcus mutans. RNAcentral's name for it is "bacterial SSU rRNA". It matches the Rfam family "Bacterial small subunit ribosomal RNA", at positions 28 to 463 of the family's 1533-position model. Lineage: Bacteria; Bacillati; Bacillota; Bacilli; Lactobacillales; Streptococcaceae. The record is from RNAcentral.